AACGUAGGAGGCGAGCGUUAUCCGGAGUUACUGGGCGUAAAGCGCGUGUAGGCGGCUUGUUACGUCUGCUGUGAAAGCGCCCGGCUUAACCGGGACGAUGCGGUAGAUACGGGCAAGCUUGAGGGUGGCAGAGGAGCGUAGAAUUCCGGGUGUAGUGGUGAAAUGCGUAGAGAUCCGGAGGAAUACCAGUGGCGCAGGCGGCGCUCUGGGUCGGGCCUGACGCUGAGACGCGAAGGCGUGGGGAGCGAACGGG
This 253-nucleotide ribosomal RNA is filed under the name uncultured bacterium. RNAcentral's name for it is "partial 16S ribosomal RNA". It matches the Rfam family "Bacterial small subunit ribosomal RNA", at positions 524 to 776 of the family's 1533-position model. The record is from RNAcentral.